Molecule: long non-coding RNA, 366 nt
Filed under: Ricinus communis (castor bean)
Lineage: Eukaryota; Viridiplantae; Streptophyta; Magnoliopsida; Malpighiales; Euphorbiaceae
Description: long non-coding RNA (RCOM_LNC002246)
Source: RNAcentral
UCACAUUAAUUAGAAUGAGAAAAAGUACAACAGAUGUCAAAAUGGAUCAUCAUCCUCAACAUUAUUCCAAAUAAAUCACCCCAUAACAAAAGUAAUCACUCUACAAACAUUAUAACAAAAUCACAUAUAUAACAAAAAUAAUCUCAACACAGAAAUCACCCAACAAACAUAUGCAGAUUCUCUUAUAUAACUAUCUUUUCAUGCCAAUUUCCACCACAGGAGCGGUAGCUACUGGUCGAUUCUGCUUCUCCAUAUUUUCUUCCCAUCCUACAAUCAAGCAAAUUCCAGAACAUUAAACAUCGAGAAAGAGAAGAAGAAGAAGAAGAUGAUGAUGAUGAUGAUGAUGAAGAGGUUGUGGUGGUUUAC